UGGUAGAUGCACCUUGAUCUUCAAUUCCCCCGGUUGGCUUUACACCCAAGUCGGGGGUUUUUUAU
Molecule: small RNA, 65 nt
Filed under: Tolypothrix sp. NIES-4075
Lineage: Bacteria; Bacillati; Cyanobacteriota; Cyanophyceae; Nostocales; Tolypothrichaceae
Description: Nitrogen stress-induced RNA 1
Rfam family: Nitrogen stress-induced RNA 1
Source: Rfam by way of RNAcentral